Molecule: long non-coding RNA, 1183 nt
Filed under: Homo sapiens (human)
Lineage: Eukaryota; Metazoa; Chordata; Mammalia; Primates; Hominidae
Description: long non-coding RNA NONHSAT171654.1
Source: RNAcentral
CUGUUAAUCAGAAAAAGCCUGUUUCUCGCUAUCAAUUAGUUUGGGGAUUUUUAAUUUUGAAGGACCAGCAAGUUCUCCCUUUGGUCUACCCAACCUUCAAUAGUGUUGUAUUAAAACCUUUGUGGUGUAUAUAUAUAUUUCAAUACCUUUUGGGGUACAAGUGGUUUUUGGUCUCUAAGAAGCUCCAAACUUUCCCUCAUUUUCCUUUCUUCUUCUAAGCCAUCCGAAGUCUUUCAACCUGCCACCCAAUUCCAAAGUUUCUUUCAUAUUUUCAGGUAUUUUUAUAGCAGUGCCCCACUCCUUGGUACCAAUUUUCUGUACUAGGCUGUUCUUACAUUUCUAUAAACAUCAAAGUCUGGGUAAUUUAUAAAGCAAAGGUGUUUAAUUGGCUCAUGGUUCUGUAGGCUUUAUAGGAAGCAUCGUGCUGGCAUCUGUUCAGCUUCUAGGGAGGCCUCAGGAAGCUUGCAAUCAUGGCAGAAGCUGAAGAGGGAGCAAAUGUCACGCACAGUGAUAGCAGGAGCCAUGGGGGGGGGGGGAGGUGCCACACCCUUUUUAAACAACCAGAUCUUGUGAAAACUCACCAUUGUGAGGACAGCACCAAGGGGAUGGCAUUAAACUACUCAUCAGGUAUUCGUUCUCAUGAUCCAAUCACCUCCCACCAGACCCACCUCCAACAUGGGAGAUUACAAUUCAACAUGAAGCUUAGAGGAAACAACAUCCAAACUACAUCAACAUCUUACUUUAUACACCCUUGUUCUUUCGCUCUUUGCAAUAAAUCUUGCUGCUGCUGCUCACUCUUUGGGUCCACAGUGCCUUUAUGAGCUGUAACACUCACUGCGAAGGUCCGCAGCUUCACUCCUGAGCCAGCCAGACCACGAGCCCCACCAGAAGGAAGAAACUCCGAGCACAUCCGAACAUCAGACACUUCAAGAAUAUACUGUCUUUAAAACACCUUGAUAUACAGGCUAGUAGACCUUGAGAACCUGCACCUAGAAGAGGAAUGGAUAUCACCUGAACGUACCUGAAGAACAGCCCACAACGUGAUAUUCAGUUGUCUCCUGCUGGGAAGGGCGUGAAUGUAUUUGUGAUUAAAUGAGGGAGAGGUGGAUUACAUUAAAUGGGGAGACCUUCAGAAUUAGCAAUUUCUGCUAAUGGAGCAGGGGGUACCAGCAUGUGCGGAGCG